UACGGAGGGGGCUAGCGUUGUUCGGAAUUACUGGGCGUAAAGCGCGCGUAGGCGGACCUGCAAGUCGGGGGUGAAAGCCCGAGGCUCAACCUCGGAACUGCCUUCGAUACUGGCGGGCUCGAGGCCGGUAGGGGGAAGUGGAAUUCCCGGUGUAGUGGUGGAAUGCGUAGAUAUCGGGAGGAACACCAGUGGCGAAGGCGGCUUCCUGGACCGGUUCUGACACUGAGGAGCGAAAGCGUGGGGAGCGAUCCGG
RNAcentral lists this ribosomal RNA (253 nucleotides) under uncultured bacterium. Its description in RNAcentral is "partial 16S ribosomal RNA". It matches the Rfam family "Bacterial small subunit ribosomal RNA", at positions 524 to 776 of the family's 1533-position model. The record is from RNAcentral.